This 789-nucleotide ribosomal RNA is filed under the name Staphylococcus pseudintermedius. RNAcentral describes it as "partial 23S ribosomal RNA". It matches the Rfam family "Bacterial large subunit ribosomal RNA", at positions 824 to 1613 of the family's 2925-position model. Lineage: Bacteria; Bacillati; Bacillota; Bacilli; Caryophanales; Staphylococcaceae. The record is from RNAcentral.
AAAUUCCAAUCGAACUUGGAGAUAGCUGGUUCUCUCCGAAAUAGCUUUAGGGCUAGCCUCAAGUGAUGAUUAUUGGAGGUAGAGCACUGUUUGGACGAGGGGCCCCUCUCGGGUUACCGAAUUCAGACAAACUCCGAAUGCCAAAUAAUUUAACUUGGGAGUCAGAAUGUGGGUGAUAAGGUCCAUAUUCGAAAGGGAAACAGCCCAGACCACCAGCUAAGGUCCCAAAAUAUAUGUUAAGUGGAAAAGGAUGUGGCGUUGCCCAGACAACUAGGAUGUUGGCUUAGAAGCAGCCAUCAUUUAAAGAGUGCGUAAUAGCUCACUAGUCGAGUGACACUGCGCCGAAAAUGUACCGGGGCUAAACAUAUUACCGAAGCUGUGGAUUGUCCUUUGGACAAUGGUAGGAGAGCGUUCUAAGGGCGUUGAAGCAUGAUCGCAAGGACAUGUGGAGCGCUUAGAAGUGAGAAUGCCGGUGUGAGUAGCGAAAGACGGGUGAGAAUCCCGUCCACCGAUUGACUAAGGUUUCCAGAGGAAGGCUCGUCCGCUCUGGGUUAGUCGGGUCCUAAGCUGAGGCCGACAGGCGUAGGCGAUGGAUAACAGGUUGAUAUUCCUGUACCACCAUUAUUCGUUUUAAGCGAUGGGGGGACGCAGUAGGAUAGGCGAAGCGUGCUGUUGGAGUGCACGUCCAAGCAGUGAGAUUGAGUGUUAGGCAAAUCCGGCACUCUUAAGAUUGAGCUGUGAUGGGGAGAGGAACUUGUUCCUCGAGUCGUUGAUUUCACACUGCCGAGA